This 717-nucleotide ribosomal RNA is filed under the name uncultured bacterium. Its description in RNAcentral is "bacterial SSU rRNA". It matches the Rfam family "Bacterial small subunit ribosomal RNA", at positions 8 to 719 of the family's 1533-position model. The record is from RNAcentral.
AGAGUUUGAUCCUGGCUCAGAUUGAACGCUGGCGGCAGGCUUAACACAUGCAAGUCGAGCGGUGAUGAGGUGCUUGCACCUUAUCUUAGCGGCGGACGGGUGAGUAAUGCUUAGGAAUCUGCCAUUUAGUGGGGGACAACAUUCCGAAAGGAAUGCUAAUACCGCAUACGUCCUACGGGAGAAAGCAGGGGAUCUUCGGACCUUGCGCUAAAUGAUGAGCCUAAGUCGGAUUAGCUAGUUGGUGGGGUAAAGGCCUACCAAGGCGACGAUCUGUAGCGGGUCUGAGAGGAUGAUCCGCCACACUGGGACUGAGACACGGCCCAGACUCCUACGGGAGGCAGCAGUGGGGAAUAUUGGACAAUGGGGGGAACCCUGAUCCAGCCAUGCCGCGUGUGUGAAGAAGGCCUUUUGGUUGUAAAGCACCUUAAGCGAGGAGGAGGCUACUUAGAUUAAUACUCUGAGAUAGUGGACGUUACUCGCAGAAUAAGCACCGGCUAACUCUGUGCCAGCAGCCGCGGUAAUACAGAGGGUGCGAGCGUUAAUCGGAUUUACUGGGCGUAAAGCGUGCGUAGGCGGCUGAUUAAGUUGGAUGUGAAAUCCCUGAGCUUAACUUAGGAAUUGCAUUCGAUACUGGUCAGCUAGAGUAUGGGAGAGGAUGGUAGAAUUCCAGGUGUAGCGGUGAAAUGCGUAGAGAUCUGGAGGAAUACCGAUGGCGAA